ACAAUUCUUGACCGAAAAUUGAUUAUAGACUAUAAAAUCGCUCAUUUAUGGAUUUCGGAUAAUUUUUGUUUGGAAUUUGGAAAAACUUCCUUCAGCAAAGUUGUAGAGAAUUGAAUUUCCUAUAAAAAUUCGCGAGAUUCGAAUUUUCUGACAAAAGGGCUAUUUAUCAUGAAAUAUUGAAGUUCCGGAGUUCCGAAAUAAUUGAUUUUUGGAAGUUUUAAUUAUUUUAUAUAAGAAAAACGUUUUUGUGGUUGUUGGCACAUGGGUGGCUGAUGUUUUUGACCAAAGAAGGCAUGCUAG
RNAcentral lists this long non-coding RNA (300 nucleotides) under Panax ginseng (ginseng). Its description in RNAcentral is "long non-coding RNA (PGIN_LNC006199)". Lineage: Eukaryota; Viridiplantae; Streptophyta; Magnoliopsida; Apiales; Araliaceae. The record is from RNAcentral.